Molecule: long non-coding RNA, 291 nt
Filed under: Homo sapiens (human)
Lineage: Eukaryota; Metazoa; Chordata; Mammalia; Primates; Hominidae
Description: non-protein coding ATP6V0E2-AS1:2
Source: RNAcentral
UAUACCAAGCUUGGCUACGCAGGCAACACUGAGCCCCAGUUCAUUAUUCCUUCAUGUAUUGCCAUCAGAGAGUCAGCAAAGGUAGUUGACCAAGCCCAAAGGAGAGUGUUGAGGGGAGUUGAUGACCUUGACUUUUUCAUAGGAGAUGAAGCCAUCGAUAAACCUACAUAUGCUACAAAGUGGCCGAUACGACAUGGAAUCAUUGAAGACUGGGAUCUUAUGGAAAGGUUCAUGGAGCAAGUGGUUUUUAAAUAUCUUCGAGCUGAACCUGAGGACCAUUAUUUUUUAAUG